Molecule: ribosomal RNA, 322 nt
Filed under: uncultured eukaryote
Lineage: Eukaryota
Description: partial 18S ribosomal RNA
Rfam family: Eukaryotic small subunit ribosomal RNA
Source: RNAcentral
CCCUUAGAUGUUCUGGGCCGCACGCGUGCUACACUGAGUGGAUCAGCGGGUCAGGUUGCGCGAAAGUGUUUCCUAAUCUUUAAAUCCGCUCGUGAUGGGGAUUGACGGUUGCAAUUUUCCGUCAUGAACGAGGAAUACCUUGUAAGCGCGGGUCAUCAUCCCGCGCUGAAUACGUCCCUGCCCUUUGUACACACCGCCCGUCGCACCUACCGAUUGAGUGGUCCGGUGAGGCUUUGGGAUCUGAGCGGAAAGAGCGUUUCGCUGUUUCUGCCCGGAAAACUCAGUCGAACCUUAUCAUUUAGAGGAAGGAGAAGUCGUAACA